CUGAGAGAAGAGAGACAGAGAACGAGGGAGACAGCGAGGCGAGGAGGCAGCACAUCACACCAGGCGCGAUUUGCAUCCCAAAAUCUGCUGCUGCCUGAGCUCUUUCCCGGGUCACCGCAGAGGAGACACGUGCAACCUGGGAUCCAAAUCAGUAGACACAAAAACACAGCCACACAUGCUGCCAGAGGCAACGAGCGGACCGUUUUGCUGAGGAAGACCUGCGAGGCGCCUUCUUCCACGUUGGCAUCUGGAGCAGUGAUGUGAAAAGCGCACCGAGACUGAAGGCUCUGCUGGUUCACAGAGGUCCUCCAUCACCAAAAACAAAAAGGGACGAGUUCUCACACCAAGUACAGAGCAGCGAGCAAUGAGGAAGAAAGAAAAGAGGUGCUUGUCCAAUCACAGAUGCAGAUGGCCACAGAAGACAUGAGUACCAGCCAAUCUGGCACCAGGACGACUUCCUCUUGCCAAUUUAUACACAACAAAUCAAAUGCAACCCCCUAAUUAAACAAUUGAUACCAUUUACCUCGGCACACGUUCUGCCAAUGAAGUGAUAUGUACCACUCAAUUCUACUUUGAUAGAUUCUUCAUUUCUUACAUGAGUUUUAUACAACUCAACGUGUAACCACAAGACAAGAUAAGCAGAAACACAUUUCACCAUGCUGUGACUUCAAGCGGUAUAGAUACACAUCUGACGAACAAGGCAACAUCAAGUUACCACACGCUGAGAUAUUAGCGUACGAACGAGCCCUCACUCCCUCGCAAAUGGCGCAAGCCUGAAUGAAUAAAUGUUAGAUGGCAAGCAUCUCUGCUCGGCUUUCUCCAAUGGCUGUUGUGACGACAUCCCAAAUGGCCCAGAAGACAGGACAGGGACGGCAGAGACAUAACGUGAC
Molecule: long non-coding RNA, 890 nt
Organism: Cottoperca gobio
Lineage: Eukaryota; Metazoa; Chordata; Actinopteri; Perciformes; Bovichtidae
Exons: 3
Source: RefSeq, a predicted model, not a curated record